This 39-nucleotide ribosomal RNA is filed under the name Pilaira anomala. Its description in RNAcentral is "partial 28S ribosomal RNA". Lineage: Eukaryota; Fungi; Mucoromycota; Mucoromycetes; Mucorales; Mucoraceae. The record is from RNAcentral.
AUCUGAAAUCAGGCGGGAUUACCCGCUGAACUUAAGCAU